UUAGUAUAUAUAGUAUUUACUUUCUUGACUAUUUAGGAAAUGAUUACAGAGAUAUCCUUAAAAAUAGUAGCAAGACUACACGUCAACUAAGCAACACGAAUACUUGUUGAGUCCCGUAAGUAGUACGUAUAUGGUAGUUCUCCCUUUCCUGUGGUUUCGCUUUCUGUGGUUUCAGUUAUCCGUGGUCAGCUGCGGUCCAGAAGCAGGUGAUCUUCCUUCUGACAUAUUGUCAGAAAGUCAGUAGUAGUCUGCCACUACAUUACCAAGUCCACACCAUUCAUGUCACUUCAUCUCAUCACGGAGGCAUUUUAUCGUCUCGCAUUAUCAAAAGAACACGGGUGAUGGCAGCUUGGAAGCUGCAUUGGCAAAGAAAGGUCUGGCCAAGCGAGAAGGUCUGGACAUUUUAAACAGCAGCAAAAACAACAAUAAAAGGAACCAACCCCAGAAUGUUACCUGCUGGGGCAGCGGGUUCUAUUCCUCUGAGCUUCACGUUCCAGCUGCCACAGUUACAGCCUAAAGUGCAGUUGGAUGGGAAGUGCCGGGCUGCCACUUGGAUUUCUUUUGAACAAAAGGCAUCGUGCAGCCACACAGCCCAUUUACUAGACCU
This is a long non-coding RNA of Acinonyx jubatus (cheetah), 607 nucleotides long. RefSeq lists it as uncharacterized. The record is from RefSeq and is a predicted model, not a curated record. Lineage: Eukaryota; Metazoa; Chordata; Mammalia; Carnivora; Felidae. The transcript has 2 exons.